UACGUAGGGCGCAAGCGUUAAUCGGAAUUACUGGGCGUAAAGCGUGCGCAGGCGGUUAUGCAAGACAGAUGUGAAAUCCCCGGGCUCAACCUGGGAACUGCAUUUGUGACUGCAUGGCUAGAGUACGGUAGAGGGGGAUGGAAUUCCGCGUGUAGCAGUGAAAUGCGUAGAUAUGCGGAGGAACACCGAUGGCGAAGGCAAUCCCCUGGACCUGUACUGACGCUCAUGCACGAAAGCGUGGGGAGCAAACAGG
Molecule: ribosomal RNA, 253 nt
Filed under: uncultured bacterium
Lineage: Bacteria
Description: partial 16S ribosomal RNA
Rfam family: Bacterial small subunit ribosomal RNA
Source: RNAcentral